Anthonomus grandis grandis is the source of this 1066-nucleotide long non-coding RNA. RefSeq lists it as uncharacterized. NCBI's taxonomy places the organism in Eukaryota, Metazoa, Arthropoda, Insecta, Coleoptera, Curculionidae. The record is from RefSeq and is a predicted model, not a curated record. The transcript has 3 exons.
CCCUACGUGUCGCGCUAAAUUAUUAAAAUUUGUCAAAAAGAAAAAUUAAUGUGAAAAGUAGACAAGAUCAAACAAUAAUGGGAAAAGGCCAGUCGAAAGAAAAGGAGGAAAUAAUAAUCGCGCAGUCAGGAAAUACUGGAUGUACAACGGCUAAUGGAAGUACAAGUACUGGGCUUUCCUUAAUUGAAGUUGUGGAAGUUGUGGCUGUAGCAGCAUUAGUAUUACUGAUACUGUCUUAGAAGGCCAAGAAGAGCACUAAAAAGUCAAAUAGCAAGAGACAUUGCAAGAAGCUAGCAGAUCGCGUAAGAAGGUAAAACUGGUUGUCCACACCGGAGCCAGCACCGAGGGAACGUUCCUAGCAGUUGCGCAAUGCGGCUAGGGCGCAACGAGGGAUACCAACCUGUCAAUAUUAACAACCCCCGAACCCAAACGUUACAUGGCACACAUCGUUACAUGGCAAUACAUUACAUACAACAAAACCCACGGGAUAAGUUGGAACUUCAAGAGCAGGAAGAUGAACAGCAUAAAACGUUUAGGUAGAAGAAUGGGCAGCAUGGGCAAGAAAAGAGAGUUUAGUGAAUACUAGUAUAUAUAGCGCGAAGCAUUCCACAAAACACUGAAAUAUGGGAUUGAUAGUCUACUUUGCGUCCUAUUGAAACUCGACGAUAAUUAUUUUUCGCAACGAAUAAGGGCAGACCCACAAAAAGGAUGCAGCAAAUCAAUGCACGACACCUAAAUAUGCUUUGUAUGACUGAAGAAGACUACCCAAUUAAAAAGAAUGGCAAUGGUUAUUUCAGAAGCAGAAUUAUGUUAUUUUUAAAAAAGGAGUGCCCCAAAAAAUCGUAAAAACCAUAUGCAAACACAUUUAUUCUUUGUGUCAUAUUGGAAAGGUGGAACAGGUCGUAGAUAGAGUUGUAGAGCUAAUAGAUAAGAGCUUACAGUUAGCGAAUGCUGUAGAAGAGGAGGUAAAUACUGUAUUAGAGUUGGAGAGGCAUUGAGAUAGAUCAUACAAAAGCAAAAGAAAUUAUAUAUUCUCAAAUGUAUCAUUAAAAACAAAAUUAAGACA